AGUGAACGCUGGCGGUAGGCCUAACACAUGCAAGUCGAACGGCAGCACAGUAAGAGCUUGCUCUUACGGGUGGCGAGUGGCGGACGGGUGAGGAAUACAUCGGAAUCUACUUUUUCGUGGGGGAUAACGUAGGGAAACUUACUCUAAUACCGCAUACGACCUUCGGGUGAAAGCAGGGGAUCUUCGGACCUUGCGCGAUUGAAUGAGCCGAUGUCGGAUUAGCUAGUUGGCGGGGUAAAGGCCCACCAAGGCGACGAUCCGUAGCUGGUCUGAGAGGAUGGUCGGCCACACUGGAACGUGGACACGGUCCAGACUCCUACGGGAGGCAGCAGUGGGGAAUAUUGGACAAUGGGCGCAAGCCUGAUCCAGCCAUACCGCGUGGGUGGAGAAGGCCUUCGGGUUGUAAAGACCUUUUGUUGGGAAAGAAAAGCAGCAGGUUAAUACCCCGCUGUUCUGACGGUACCCAAAGAAUAAGCACCGGCUAACUUCGUG
Molecule: ribosomal RNA, 492 nt
Filed under: uncultured bacterium
Lineage: Bacteria
Description: partial 16S ribosomal RNA
Rfam family: Bacterial small subunit ribosomal RNA
Source: RNAcentral